UUCAUGAGUUCUUCUUGAUUCUACCUUAACUCUUGAAGCAUAUUUUGGUUUUUAGUUGUGUUGUGAGCAUUUAGUCAUGAAUUAAAAUGAAGGAAAUGAUUUUUGUUUCAUUUUCUUUUGAUGAAAAAUGGAAGAUAGGUGAAGUUGAGCCAAACAAAUGAGCAUGCAUGUGCCUUAGAUGCUAAAGGGAAAAAUCGGCUAACAUGUUGUGCUUUAAAAUGAUGAAAUGGAGAUUAUAC
RNAcentral lists this long non-coding RNA (239 nucleotides) under Gossypium barbadense (sea-island cotton). RNAcentral describes it as "long non-coding RNA (GBAR_LNC011361)". Lineage: Eukaryota; Viridiplantae; Streptophyta; Magnoliopsida; Malvales; Malvaceae. The record is from RNAcentral.